Molecule: ribosomal RNA, 507 nt
Filed under: uncultured bacterium
Lineage: Bacteria
Description: partial 16S ribosomal RNA
Rfam family: Bacterial small subunit ribosomal RNA
Source: RNAcentral
GACGAACGCUGGCGGCGUGCCUAAUACAUGCAAGUCGAACGCAUUUUCUUUCACCGUAGCUUGCUACACCGAAAGAAAAUGAGCGGCGAACGGGUGAGUAACACGUGGGUAACCUGCCCAUCAGCGGGGGAUAACACUUGGAAACAGGUGCUAAUACCGCAUAAUUCCAUUUACCGCAUGUUAGAUGGAUGAAAGGCGCUUUUGCGUCACUGAUGGAUGGACCCGCGGUGCAUUAGCUAGUUGGUGGGGUAACGGCCUACCAAGGCUGCGAUGCAUAGCCGACCUGAGAGGGUGAUCGGCCACACUGGGACUGAGACACGGCCCAGACUCCUACGGGAGGCAGCAGUAGGGAAUCUUCGGCAAUGGACGCAAGUCUGACCGAGCAACGCCGCGUGAGUGAAGAAGGUUUUCGGAUCGUAAAACUCUGUUGUUAGAGAAGAACAAGGAUGAGAGUGGAAAGUUCAUCCCUUGACGGUAUCUAACCAGAAAGCCACGGCUAACUACGUG